Non-coding RNA from Pelobates cultripes (western spadefoot toad), 241 nucleotides. Lineage: Eukaryota; Metazoa; Chordata; Amphibia; Anura; Pelobatidae. The record is from the annotation of a GenBank genome assembly.
CCUAAAUUCUCUGAAGACAGUCACUUGCCUAAAAUCCCAAUAUUAAAAUAUCCCCUUCUGUGAUUUCUGAUAUUCAAGGUAGCCACAAUCCUGGAUCGCUCCCGGAUCUCUCAACCUUAAUUCUUGACCAUCGCUCAUACACCAGGAGACAUUGCAGCUUCCUAUUCUGUCCCCCAAAAACCUCACCCCAACAUAUCAGUAAUUGGAAAGGAACAGAAUGAUGUCUGCACUUGCGAAAGCC